This 497-nucleotide ribosomal RNA is filed under the name uncultured bacterium. RNAcentral describes it as "partial 16S ribosomal RNA". It matches the Rfam family "Bacterial small subunit ribosomal RNA", at positions 28 to 507 of the family's 1533-position model. The record is from RNAcentral.
GACGAACGCUGGCGGCGUGCCUAAUACAUGCAAGUUGAGCGCUGAAGGUUUGUACUUGUACCAACUGGAUGAGCAGCGAACGGGUGAGUAACGCGUGGGGAAUCUCCCUUUUUUCGGGGGACAAUAUUUGGACACGAAUUCUAAUACCGCAUAAAAACUUUAUACAUAAGUUUUAUGGUUGAAAUAUGCAAUUGCAUCACUCACAGACGACCUCGCGUUGUAUUAGCUAGGUGGUGAGGUAAAGGCGCACCAAGGGGAUGAUACAUAGCCGAACUGAGAGGGUGGUCGGCCAGCUUGGGACUGAGACAGGGCCCAAACUCCUUGGGGAGCAAGCAGUAGGGAAUCGUCGGCCAGGGACGAAAGUCAGACCGAGCAACGCCGAGUGCGUGAAGAAGGUUGUCGGAUCGUAAAACUCUGUUGGUAGGGAAGAACGCUGGUGAGAGUGGAACGCUCAUCAAGUGACGGUAACUAGCCAGAAAGCAACGGCUAACUACGUG